This 253-nucleotide ribosomal RNA is filed under the name uncultured bacterium. Its description in RNAcentral is "partial 16S ribosomal RNA". It matches the Rfam family "Bacterial small subunit ribosomal RNA", at positions 524 to 776 of the family's 1533-position model. The record is from RNAcentral.
UACGUAGGUGGCAAGCGUUGUUCGGAAUUAUUGGGCGUAAAGGGCGCGUAGGCGGUUCGUUAAGUCAGUUGUGAAAGCCCGGGGCUUAACCCCGGGUCUGCAGUCGAUACGGGCAGGCUAGAGUUCGGUAGGGGAGAUCGGAAUUCCUGGUGUAGCGGUGAAAUGCGCAGAUAUCAGGAGGAACACCGGUGGCGAAGGCGGAUCUCUGGGCCGAUACUGACGCUGAGGAGCGAAAGCGUGGGGAGCGAACAGG